Molecule: unclassified non-coding RNA, 349 nt
Filed under: soil metagenome
Description: partial contains 5.8S ribosomal RNA, internal transcribed spacer 2, and large subunit ribosomal RNA
Rfam family: 5.8S ribosomal RNA (bases 1-120)
Source: RNAcentral
GAUGAAGAACGUAGUGAAAUGCGAUAACUAGUGUGAAUUGCAGAAUUCCGUGAAUCAUCGAGUCUUUGAACGCACAUUGCGCCCCCUGGUAUUCCGGGGGACAUGCCUGUCCGAGCGUCAUUGCUGCCCAUCAAGCACGGCUUGUGUGUUGGGUCGUCGUCCCCUCUCCGGGGGGGACGGGCCCCAAAGGCAGCGGCGGCACCGCGUCCGAUCCUCGAGCGUAUGGGGCUUUGUCACCCGCUCUGUAGGCCCGGCCGGCGCUUGCCGAACGCAAAUCAAUCUUUUUCCAGGUUGACCUCGGAUCAGGUAGGGAUACCCGCUGAACUUAAGCAUAUCAAUAAGCGGAGGA